UUUAGCUAGUCGCUGGCCAACGAGCAUAUAUAAAAGUAGCAAACAGCUGUGUGUUCUUGCUCAGUGUUAUUUUUACCAUAACUAUAUUGAGAGUAAUACAAAUAGUUGUAUAUAAAUAAAUAUAUUCGCACAAUCCUUUUAUAAAUUCAUUAAGGAACAACAAUUACAAUGGCUAGCACAGUGCCAACCGUUAAGCUAAACAGUGGCCACAAUAUUCCCCUACUUGGUCUUGGAACCUGGAAUAGUCCUCCUGGCCAAGUGGUGGAGGCUGUUAAAACUGCCAUUGAUGUUGGAUAUAGGCACAUUGAUUGCGCCUUUGUCUAUCAAAAUGAAGCUGAAGUCGGGGCUGCAAUCGAGGCCAAGAUCAAGGAAAGUGCAGUUAAGCGCGAGGAUCUGUUUAUUACAAGCAAGUUGUGGAACACUUUUCAUCGUCCAGAGACGGUGAAAGCUGCUUGUGAGCAUACCUUGGAACUGUUGAAGCUGAAAUAUCUGGAUCUAUACUUGAUCCACUGGCCCAUGGGCUAUAAGGAGGGUUGUGAACUGUUUCCAGUUGAUGAAAAUGGAAAAACCCUGUUCUCGCCGGACGAUUACGUAGAUACGUGGAAGGCUAUGGAGCAGCUAGUGGAGGAGGGUCUAGUCAAGUCAAUUGGCGUUUCCAAUUUCAACAAACAUCAAAUCGAACGCGUUUUGGCUGUUGCCAAAAUUCCACCAGCUACCAAUCAGAUCGAAUGUCAUCCGUAUUUGACACAGAAGAAACUUUCUGAAUUUUGCAAACAGAAUAACAUUGUCAUUACGGCGUACAGCCCAUUGGGCAGCCCGAAUCGCCCGUGGGCCAAGGAAGGUGAUCCUGUUAUAUUAGAGGAGAAAAAGAUUAAAGAAAUUGCCGCUGCCAAAAACAAGACGCCCGGACAAAUUUUGAUACGUUAUCAGAUUCAGAGGAAUAACAUUGUCAUACCAAAGUCGGUGACUAAGGAGCGUAUCGAGUCGAACUUCAAAGUCUUCGAUUUCACUCUAACUCCCGAGGAGAUCGAAAUAAUUGAAAGUUUCGAAUGCAAUGGACGGCUGGUACCGCUGAUUAAUGAAGCUGGCGAUCAUAUGCAUUAUCCAUUUCGCGAUGAAUAUUAAAUCAAAAUGCAAAGAACUUUGUCUACAUUUAGAAACAAGAGACAUCUGAAAUAUGAAUAAUCAAAUAACCAAAUAGUUAAAUAAAUAUUUCUGGCUAAAGCUAACAACUGGGCAAUUCGAGAGGCACAUACUCAACAUGGUCAUCCACACCAUCCAUUUGAGAAGGAUGAAUUCUAAAAGGGAUUGAGAUGUUAGCUGUCCGACUUCUACAGCUCUUAAGCCUUUCUAUAAUUAUACAUAAAAUAAAAAAUUAAUAAAUAUGAAUAUGGCAUAAU
Molecule: RNA transcript, 1400 nt
Organism: Drosophila hydei
Lineage: Eukaryota; Metazoa; Arthropoda; Insecta; Diptera; Drosophilidae
Gene: Akr1B
Gene name: aldo-keto reductase family 1 member B1
Exons: 6
Source: RefSeq, a predicted model, not a curated record